Molecule: transfer RNA, 64 nt
Filed under: Pnyxia scabiei
Lineage: Eukaryota; Metazoa; Arthropoda; Insecta; Diptera; Sciaridae
Description: tRNA-His
Source: RNAcentral
AUUUAAAUAGUUUAAUAAAAAUAUGGGAUUGUGAUUCUUAAGAUAUAAUUAUUUAUUUUAGAUA